Molecule: ribosomal RNA, 424 nt
Filed under: Pipilo erythrophthalmus
Lineage: Eukaryota; Metazoa; Chordata; Aves; Passeriformes; Passerellidae
Description: partial 16S ribosomal RNA
Rfam family: Bacterial large subunit ribosomal RNA
Source: RNAcentral
GCGGUAUCCUAACCGUGCAAAGGUAGCGCAAUCAAUUGUCCCAUAAAUCGAGACUAGUAUGAAUGGCUAAACGAGGUCUUAACUGUCUCUUACAGGCAAUCGGUGAAAUUGAUCUCCCUGUACAAAAGCAGGGAUAAACCCAUAAGACGAGAAGACCCUGUGGAACUUUAAAACCAGCAGCCACCUUAAAACACAUACACACCUACCGGGUUCACUGACACAUAAGAUUCUGGCCUGCGUUUUUCGGUUGGGGCGACCUUGGAGCAAAACAGAACCUCCAAAAAUUAGACCAUACCUCUAGACCAAGAGCAACCCCUCGACGUGCUAAUAGCAUCCAGACCCAAUACAAUUGAUCAAUGGACCAAGCUACCCCAGGGAUAACAGCGCAAUCUCCCCCGAGAGUCCGUAUCGACGGGGAGGUUUA